UUAAGUUCAGCGGGUAGUCCUACCUGAUUUGAGGCCAGAUCAUAAAAAGUGAUGUCCGAAGACAGUCGGGUUAGAAAGCAGACGUUUGCCAGAGUCUUGGCCACCCCAGAAGGGAUGUCCUCAGCGAAAUACUUAUUACGCCAAGUAGAACCAAGUCUCACGACAUGUCCAGCUAAUCCUUUUAAGGUGAGCAGCACGAG
Molecule: unclassified non-coding RNA, 200 nt
Filed under: Tremellomycetes sp.
Lineage: Eukaryota; Fungi; Basidiomycota; Tremellomycetes
Description: partial internal transcribed spacer 2
Source: RNAcentral